GCCUGGCUGGCUCAGCUGGUAGAGCAUGAGACUCUUGAUCUUAGGGUCAUGAGUUCGAGCCCCGUGUUGAAUG
RNAcentral lists this transfer RNA (73 nucleotides) under Felis catus (domestic cat). It matches the Rfam family "tRNA". From Rfam's summary of the family: Transfer RNA (tRNA) molecules are approximately 80 nucleotides in length. Lineage: Eukaryota; Metazoa; Chordata; Mammalia; Carnivora; Felidae. The record is from Rfam by way of RNAcentral.